CAAACUCAUCCAGACAUUUUCAAAAACUAAAUAUUAUGUCACAGGUCUCAAGUAUCUCGUGGAACAGAUAGUGCACUGAUGUAUACCAGGCCAAAAGGUAACUGUUUUCAGGAAAGUUGACUGUGGUAUGAGGCUCCGUGGGGAACGGCCUGGAUACUACUGAGAAGUGGACUUCACAGAGAUAAAACCAGGAAAAUAUGGUUAUAAAUGUCUCCCAGUGUUUAUAGAUAUCUUUUCAGGAAUAGGUAGAAGCUUUCCCCACCAAGCAAGAGACGGCCUCAAUAGUCAUCAAGAAGAUACUAGAAGAAAUCUUCUCCCGAUUUGGAAUGCCCAAGGUAAUCUGGUCAGACAACAGUCCUACUUUCGUUGCCAAGGUAAGCCAGGGUGUGGCCAAGUAUUUAGAGGUUGAUUGAAAAUUACGUUAUAUUUACAGACCUCAAAGUUCAGGACAGGUAGAAUAAAUAAAUAAAAUUUUAAAAGAGACCCUGACCAAAUUGACCAUGGAGACUGGCGUAGACUGGGUGACACUCCUUCCCUCUUGCUCUCUUCAGAGCAAGAAAUACCCCUUCCAGAUUCAGCUUUACCCCCUUUGAGAUCUUAUAUGGGGCCUCAGCUCCCCUGACUAUAUUAGAUGAUGUUACUGAACCAACAUGUCAUAGUAAUAAUGAUUUGUAUGCCAGGCUAAAAGACCUACAGGUGAUAUAGAAAGAAAUCUGCUCACAGCUGACAGCAGCCUAUGCCCCGGGGACCCCCGAGACAUGUCAUCAGUUCCAGGUUAGAGACUACAGCUACACUGAGCCCAGACACUCGAGCCUCGCUAGAAAGGACCGUACCUAGUGCUGCUGACCACCCUGACAGCCAUCAAGUCUCAGCCCUCACCAGCAGCGUACUAGCUGUUGGGGCUGAGAGCUGGGACCUAGAGGGACACUCAGAUCUUCAAAAAGCUCCCUAGACUUAAGUGAUUGGGAGGUUGCUAUAAUGCUCAUUUGAGGAGUGUGUUUUAGAAACAAGAAUUUCAUGUUUGCCUGUUUGCCCUGGGUUCCCUCGGAAUAGGUGUAAGGAUAGGCUUGAUUUUUAUUACAAAUGAUGUAACAUUACAUAUGUUAAGUACUCCUAACACUUCUUGGGACUGUGCCUCAGGGAUCACAACCUAUAUAAGUUUAAAAGUUCUAAAAGACCUUGAUUUAUAGGUUCAGAUAGUGUCCAGAUUAGAAUCCUGAUGCUAAAGACUUAAUAAGACACAAAAGAGAGUUGAGAAUUAUUUAAGGCUAUCUAGGUGCUACAAGGGCAGCACAAGGACAUCUUCAGUUGCCCUACAAUGCAAAAAAGAGUAAAAAAGACUUUUUAGCUGACCUCCAAGAAUACCUAACCUCCCUCUCAGAGGUAGUCCUUCAAAAUAGGAAAAGAUUAGACCUGAUAUUCCUUAAAAAAGGAGUCUGUGUGCUACACUAAAAAAAAAAAUGUUGUUUCUAUACAGAUCAGACAAUAAUAAUAAGAGAUAGAGUCUUUCAGUCAUUCAAACUUUUGUGCUGAGACAACAGUAUCAGAUGGUGAAAAAAAAAAAAAAAACAGAGGUACCUAAAACAAGUUGAGUGGAAGAUUCCACUCAAGGACAAAAAGAAAAUGGGGGAAAACAGACCAGAAAAGAAAACAAAAUGCAGAAACCAGACUAAAUUAUGGGCACUGCUCCAUGGGCCACCUGGCAGGAAAAAGAAAAAGUCCCUGACCCCCCGGAAGCCCUGACCACCAUGUACUUUUUGCUAACUCACUGUUAUGAUUAUAGCCAAAAUAGGUAACAUACACGUAUGCCUCAUUUACUCCACCAAUCACAUCCCUGUAACCAUGCAUCUGCUUCUGUAAGCCUGCUUCUGCUCCCCAAAAUACUAUAAAAAGCCCACCCUGGCUCUGCUAGGCGCGCCAGUCUUUCAAAUUGACUGGGACGCCCACAGAUAUCUGUGUAUCCUGAUCAAUAAAAAUCCUCUUGCAGAUUGC
RNAcentral lists this long non-coding RNA (1992 nucleotides) under Rattus norvegicus (Norway rat). RNAcentral's name for it is "long non-coding RNA NONRATT004164". Lineage: Eukaryota; Metazoa; Chordata; Mammalia; Rodentia; Muridae. The record is from RNAcentral.